This 582-nucleotide ribosomal RNA is filed under the name Fermentozyma sake. Its description in RNAcentral is "LSU rRNA". It matches the Rfam family "Eukaryotic large subunit ribosomal RNA", at positions 49 to 655 of the family's 3401-position model. Lineage: Eukaryota; Fungi; Ascomycota; Pichiomycetes; Serinales; Debaryomycetaceae. The record is from RNAcentral.
AGCGGAGGAAAAGAAACCAACCGGGAUUGCCUCAGUAACGGCGAGUGAAGCGGCAAAAGCUCAAAUUUGAAAUCUGCGUAAGCCGAGUUGUAAUUUGAAGAUGGCUACUUUGGUAAUGGCUCUUGUCUAUGUUCCUUGGAACAGGACGUCACAGAGGGUGAGAAUCCCGUGCGAUGAGAUGUCCAUUACCGUGUAAAGUGCUUUCGAAGAGUCGAGUUGUUUGGGAAUGCAGCUCUAAGUGGGUGGUAAAUUCCAUCUAAAGCUAAAUAUUGGCGAGAGACCGAUAGCGAACAAGUACAGUGAUGGAAAGAUGAAAAGAACUUUGAAAAGAGAGUGAAAAAGUACGUGAAAUUGUUGAAAGGGAAGGGCUUGAGAUCAGACUUGGUAUUUUGUAUGGCUUGCUUUCGGGCGGGUCCUCUGCAGUUUACUGGGCCAGCAUCGGUUUGGGUGGCAGGAUAAUAGCAUAGGAAUGUGGCUCUACUUCGGUGGAGUGUUAUAGCCUUUGUUGAUACUGCCUGCCUAGACCGAGGACUGCGUCUUUUGACUAGGAUGCUGGCAUAAUGAUCCUAAGCCGCCCGUCUU